GUAAUCCUGGGGUGUGCGCCAGCCGAGAAGUCCCUGAGCCGAUAAUUUUGCUAUGGCUUCUCUUUGUCAAAGCUGUUGAGCAAUUCCGUGCGUCGGAAAGCCUGAUGCGAUGCGAGGGUCGCCGACUUGAACCUUUCGGUUCAAGGCCACGUCGGCAGCGGCACUCUGGGUCUUGA
RNAcentral lists this non-coding RNA (176 nucleotides) under Porticoccaceae bacterium. RNAcentral describes it as "6S RNA". It matches the Rfam family "6S / SsrS RNA". From Rfam's summary of the family: E. coli 6S RNA was the first non coding RNA to be sequenced, but its function was unknown until recently. It consists of 184 nucleotides that fold into an extended hairpin structure with a large single-stranded internal bulge. Lineage: Bacteria; Pseudomonadati; Pseudomonadota; Gammaproteobacteria; Cellvibrionales; Porticoccaceae. The record is from RNAcentral.